This 3100-nucleotide long non-coding RNA is filed under the name Monodelphis domestica (gray short-tailed opossum). RNAcentral describes it as "lncRNA (ENSMODG00000038262.1)". Lineage: Eukaryota; Metazoa; Chordata; Mammalia; Didelphimorphia; Didelphidae. The record is from RNAcentral.
CUUUUUUUGAAUCCUCUCAGUUCCUCCUUGUGCCUGGCAGGUAACAUCAUGAAUUCCUAUGAAGUUGCCCAAUUAUUGGUUCCUGCUGUUGCUGGGCUCUAACGUCAUAUCUUCCUGUGGUCUUAAUCUAUAUAUGCUUUGUUUGAACUCAAUAAAGGGUCAUUAUCAAUAGCGUCCAUUCAUUACUCUUCACUUUUCAUUACCCCAAGUAAGUUCACACAGGGCUGGCCGACCCUGGCGCUGAGCCUUACAAUAGAAUCCCUCUUGUCAGUUACACUGUUGGGUACCGUUUCAUACUUGGGAUCAUAACCAGGCACUUAAUAUGGAGGUUUGUCUGGGAUCCCAUGAAGGAAAUGGAGUAUGACCAACAGAGGAAGGGGGCCCCUGUCCCCAGGGCAACUCGGUUCGAUGUGAUCCAGAACAUGCCACAUCUCGGUGGAGGACAGCAGGGUCUGAAAACCAUCUUGAUCGGCUCCUGUUUCUGCUCCUGGCCUCUCACCUGGUGCCCGAGCUGUGCUCCGGCUCCCGCCCCAACCCACCCUGGCGGUCUGUCUCUCACCCAUCUGGCCUCCAACCCAGACGGCUCAUCACCCCAGCCCCAGACCCACGAGCGUGACCCCAGCCGGCUCAUCACCCAGAUCCUUGGAGCCGAUUGCUGAGGACUUAUUGCGACCAGCUGGUAACAGUAUUGGCCACUUGGGCGGAGGGGAGAGAAGAGAGGGAAAGGAGAAUGGGUAAUUUUCCCUUAGGCUAAGUGGAUGGGGGUAUUGACCACAGGGGGAUCAGAGCAGGGGAGAGAGAAAAGGGAGAGGAGAAGAAACAGAUUUUUCAAACAGAAACUUAAAAUGCAAUGGGCUGUUUAAAAGGAUUUUUGACUGUUCUGAUAAUUUCAUUGAUUUCACCUGCGUGCCAGAAGAAACAUUCAGCCCAAAUAUUCAACUUUGAAUUUGCAAAUGGGUGGCUCAGCGAACUGAGAGCAUGGUCCUCGGUUAAAAUCUGGCCUCAGAUACUCCCCAGCUGUGGGGCUCCAAGCAGAUCGAACAGAUCGAUAGCCUUUACUACUCUACCUUCGGAAAAUAGACAUUUAAAUGGAUAAUUAAAAACAAACAAAAAAAAACCCACCCAAGGAACUUUAAAGACUAAAGACUAUAUUCUAAGGCAUUUCAGACUCCAGUGAUUUAUAAAAAUCUCUGUAUUCUAUUGCAUUUUUUGUUAUGGUUUAACUUUGUGAUUUUAAGUUCAUAUAUUACUGGAUUCAAUAUUAUUCUGCUUCAACUGAAGGUUGAUUGAAUUUAUUUUGAAUGUACUGAGUUUUAAAAAUUCUGUUGUUUUUCCCCUGUAACUGUAUUGAACAAAUAUUAUUGUGAAUAAGCCCAUAUAUGAAAAAACAGCUUUUUUCUAUUUUGCUGAGGAUAGAUGGACUUCAGAACUGGUUAUAAUUGUAUUAACAACCUUUGGAAUUUUAAUGUGCUAAAUACCUCAAAUGAUUUGAUUUUAAGGGUUUUUUAAAUAUGAUUUUUGGAAUUUUUUUUUUAACAAUCUGGUUAUUUUUGCCUGCCCCUACCACGAGGUAAGGCCCAUUAGCUGAAGUGAAAUACAUUUUAUAAACCCCAACCUUCCCACAUGUGAAUGGAAGUUGGGCAGUUAAUUUCAGGGCAUUUGUACCCUUAAAAAGCCUCCACUUCCAGUCAAGAUGGCAGUGUAGAAGCAGCGAAAGUUCAGACCUCGGAAACCCUUCCUUACCGAUCGCAAACAGAGUGUUCCUAGGCCACCGAAAUUCAAGCUGAACAACAGGAUAGACCUGGGGAAACCUCCUCCUGGACCUGGAUCAAAAGGUACCACACCCCAAAAGCCAGAACCCUAGAUCACUUGGAUCUAAGGGGUAGACAGAAAGAAGGUCCCAGGACCCAUCCCCCCCAACCCAGAGUGCUGAGCCCAAGGCAGCAGCGGGAACCUCAGGGCUCUGAGGACUCACCUUGAAAGCAACCCCAGCCAGUCUCCGGAGCGCCCAACACAGACGGCAGGGAAGCAUAGAGAGAAGGGGGAAGCCUGUGGCCCCCUGGCUGGGUUCUUCCAUCUGGGUCUCAGGGGAGGUCCCAGCUUCGGGGCACCAGCUGAGCCCAAUCCCAUCGGGAGCCCUCAGAGCUACUGAAAGGACAGAGGGCUCAGGGCUGGCAAAGGGGUUGCUCCAAAGAGCCUACCUUGAAAGUAACCCAGGCCAGUUUCUGGGCACUCAACACAGACUGUGGAAGAGGAGGUUGCUGCUUUUCUUUUUCUUCCUUUUUUUGGCUCCGGGAUCAUUCAGCCCACACCACCUGAACCUAAUCCCAUCAGGAGCCAUCAGAGUCCAGGCAAGCCAAGACCCCUCCCCCCUUAGAGAGCAGGGUCUUCUGAAAGAACCAGCUGAACCUAAUCCAAUCAGGAGCCCUCAGAGCUGCUGAGAGGAAGGAGAACUCAGGGCUGGCAAAGGGGUUGCUCCGGGGAGCUUGCCUUGAAAGUAACCCGGGCCAGUUUCUGGGCACUCAACACAGACUGUGGAAGAGGAGGUUGCUGCUUUUCUCUUUCUUCUUUUUUUUGGCUCUGGGAUCAUUCGGCCCACACUACCUGAACCUAAUCCCAUCAGGAGCCAUCAGAGUCCAGGCAAGCCAAGACCCCUCCCCCCUUAGAGAGCAGGGUCUUCUGAAAGAACCAGCUGAACCUAAUCCCAUCAGGAGCCCUCAGAGCUAUUGAAAGGACAGAAAACUCAGGGCUGGCAAAGGGGUUGCUCCAAAGAGCUUACCUUGAAAGUAACCUGGGCCAGUUUCUGGGCACUCAACACAGACUGUGGAAGAGGAGGUGGCUACUUUUUUUUUCUUCCUUUUUUUGGCUCCGGGAUCUUUCGGCCCACACCACCUGAACCUAAUCUCAUCAGGAGCCCUCAGAGUCCAGGCAAGCCACAACCCCUCCCCCCUUAGAGAGCUGGGUCUUCUGAAAAAACAGAAACCUAGAGGCGAAGUCAAGAUGGCAGCCUGGCCAGAGCUUUAGAGAUCCUCCAUAUCUGCUCCAGCUGUCCAGGAAGUUUAAAACUAAGAAUAAACCCAGCCCAACUAAGCUGAACUCA